AGGACGAACGCUGGCGGCGUGCUUAACACAUGCAAGUCGAGCGGUAAGGCCUUUCGGGGUACACGAGCGGCGAACGGGUGAGUAACACGUGGGUGAUCUGCCCUGCACUUCGGGAUAAGCCUGGGAAACUGGGUCUAAUACCGGAUAUGACCUCAGGUUGCAUGACUUGGGGGUGGAAAGAUUUAUCGGUGCAGGAUGGGCCCGCGGCCUAUCAGCUUGUUGGUGGGGUAAUGGCCUACCAAGGCGACGACGGGUAGCCGACCUGAGAGGGUGACCGGCCACACUGGGACUGAGACACGGCCCAGACUCCUACGGGAGGCAGCAGUGGGGAAUUUGGACAAUGGGGGAAACCCUGAUCCAGCCAUCCCGCGUGUGCGAUGAAGGCCUCGGUUGUAAGCACUUUGGCUAGGGAGAAACGGCGUGCCUAAUACGGACGUCGACUGACGGUACCUGCAGAAUAAGCACCGGCUAACUACGUGCCAGACAGCCGC
Molecule: ribosomal RNA, 491 nt
Filed under: uncultured soil bacterium
Lineage: Bacteria
Description: bacterial SSU rRNA
Rfam family: Bacterial small subunit ribosomal RNA
Source: RNAcentral